RNAcentral lists this ribosomal RNA (414 nucleotides) under uncultured prokaryote. RNAcentral describes it as "bacterial SSU rRNA". It matches the Rfam family "Bacterial small subunit ribosomal RNA", at positions 505 to 918 of the family's 1533-position model. The record is from RNAcentral.
GUGUCAGCCGCCGCGGUAAUACGGAGGGGGCGAGCGUUGUUCGGAAUUACUGGGCGUAAAGGGCGCGUAGGCGGUCCGGUCAGUUGGAGGUGAAAGCCCUGGGCUCAACCUGGGAGGUGCCUUCAAUACGGCCGGACUUGAGAACGGGAGAGGAUGACGGAAUUCCCAGUGUAGAGGUGAAAUUCGUAGAUAUUGGGAAGAACACCAGUGGCGAAGGCGGUCAUCUGGCCCGUUUCUGACGCUGAGGCGCGAAAGCGUGGGGAGCAAACAGGAUUAGAUACCCUGGUAGUCCACGCCGUAAACGAUGUGCGCUAGCCGUCGGGGGACGCAGUCUCUCGGUGGCGCAGCUAACGCGAUAAGCGCACCGCCUGGGGAGUACGGCCGCAAGGUUAAAACUCAAAUGAAUUGGCGGGG